RNAcentral lists this transfer RNA (158 nucleotides) under Marmota monax (woodchuck). RNAcentral describes it as "tRNA.Asn". The record is from RNAcentral. Lineage: Eukaryota; Metazoa; Chordata; Mammalia; Rodentia; Sciuridae.
GGGGGUAUAGCUCAGUGGUAAAGCACCACAGAGUUAAAUCCACAGCAUAAUAAUAAUAAGUAAAUAAAUAAAUAAAUAUUAGUUCUAGGGGAUGUAGCUCAGUGAUAAGUUGCUUGCUUAGCAUGUGGGAGCUCUGGGUUUGAUUCCCAGUACUGUCA